CUAAGAAUUCAACAUAAUGUUU
This 22-nucleotide non-coding RNA is filed under the name Rattus norvegicus (Norway rat). Lineage: Eukaryota; Metazoa; Chordata; Mammalia; Rodentia; Muridae. The record is from RNAcentral.